CCUACGGGAGGCAGCAGUGGGGACUAUUGCACAAUGGGGGAAACCCUGAUGCAGCGACGCCGCGUGAGUGAAGAAGUAUUUCGGUAUGUAAAGCUCUAUCAGCAGGGAAGAAAAAAGACGGUACCUGACUAAGAAGCCCCGGCUAACUACGUGCCAGCAGCCGCGGUAAUACGUAGGGGGCAAGCGUUAUCCGGAUUUACUGGGUGGAAAGGGAGCGUAGACGGUGCGUCAAGUCUGAAGUGAAAGCCCGGGGCUUAACCCCGGGACUGCUUUGGAAACUGGCGCGCUAGAGUGCUGGAGAGGUAAGUGGAAUUCCUAGGGUAGCGGUGAAAUGCGUAGAUAUUAGGAGGAACACCAGUGGCGAAGGCGGCUUACUGGACAGUAACGGACGUUGAGGCUCGAAAGCGUGGGGAGCAAACAGGAUUAGAUACCCUUGUAGUC
This 441-nucleotide ribosomal RNA is filed under the name uncultured bacterium. Its description in RNAcentral is "partial 16S ribosomal RNA". It matches the Rfam family "Bacterial small subunit ribosomal RNA", at positions 338 to 795 of the family's 1533-position model. The record is from RNAcentral.